UAAGUUGGUAGUUUUAUUUAAUAAGAGAAUAGAGUCUGUUAAUAAUAAGUAUUACUUAGAACAUUAAAGUGAAAUUAUAGUUUAAUAGUAUUGUGAAAGAAAGUUAUAUGUUUGUUAUUUAAAAAAAGAAUACUUAAAUAGUAUUACCUUUUGUAUCAGGGGUAAACAAUAUUUUUGUUAUAGUGUAUUUUUCUCGAAGUAAUAAGGGUUAGAUCUAAAAUAUUGUUUAGGUGGAAUACUAAUAUUAAAUUUAGGUUUAGAGAUGAAAUUUUACUCGAUUAUUAUCUAUCUAGUUUUCUCCGAAAGAAGGUGAACUUUGAAGUUGGCUUUAAUAAGUCUAAUAUUUUAACGCAGGAGGGUCAAGCUUCUUGUGGGUGUAAAUAUUAAAAUAAGAGUUAAGAUAAUAUUCAUUUUGGCUUAAGAGCAGCUAUAUUGAUAGAGCGUUUGAGAUAAGAUUAGUUAAAAAGUUAUUUUUUUAUUUUAUAUGUUUAGAUAGGAGAAAUUAAUUUUAAGUAAUAUGAAAUUAGUUAUAAUGUUUAUAUAAGUAAAUUUAUAUGUAGGUAGUUGAACUUUCUGGAUAUUAGAUAAUUUGAUUGUUAGUUAUUUAUGGUAUAAAAAAGGAACUCGGCAAAGAUUGCUUCUGCCUGUUUAUCAAAAACAUGUCUGUAUGUUUGUUAAUAUAAAGUCUAACCUGCCCACUGGAUUUUUGAAGGGCCGCGGUAUAUUGACCGUGCUAAGGUAGCAUAAUAAUUAGUCUUUUAAUUGUAGGCUGGAAUGAAUGGUUGGACAAGAAGUAAGCUGUCUUUUUUAUAAAUUUUGAAUUUUACUUUUAAGUGAAAAGGCUUAAAUAAAUUUAAGGGACGAUAAGACCCUAUAAAACUUUACAGUUAAGAGAUAUUUAAUAAUUGAUUUGUAGCUUAAUUAUCUUGUAGCUGUUUUGUUGGGGAGACAAUGAUAGAAGGCAAAAAUAUCUGUUUGAUAAAUGAAAAUAAAGAUGUUUAGUAAAGCUGAUCCUUUAUUAAGGAUUAAAAGAGUAAGUUACUUUAGGGAUAACAGCGUAAUUUUUUCUGAGAGUUCUUAUCGAUGAAAGUAGUUGCGACCUCGAUGUUGAAUUAAAGUUUCUAUUAAAUGCAGCAGUUUAAAUAGAGGGUCUGUUCGACCUUUAAAUCUUUACAUGAUUUGAGUUCAAACCGGUGUGAGCCAGGUUGGUUUCUAUCUUUAAAUUUAUUUUGAAUCUUUUUAGUACGAAAGGAUUAAAAGAUUAGAAAAUUUCUUCUAAAAAGAAGAAUUAUAAACUU
RNAcentral lists this ribosomal RNA (1298 nucleotides) under Plesionika lophotes. RNAcentral describes it as "16S ribosomal RNA". The stretch from base 563 to 1298 matches the Rfam family "Archaeal large subunit ribosomal RNA", at positions 1423 to 2918 of the family's 2987-position model. The record is from RNAcentral. Lineage: Eukaryota; Metazoa; Arthropoda; Malacostraca; Decapoda; Pandalidae.